Molecule: long non-coding RNA, 149 nt
Organism: Sphaeramia orbicularis (orbiculate cardinalfish)
Lineage: Eukaryota; Metazoa; Chordata; Actinopteri; Kurtiformes; Apogonidae
Exons: 3
Source: RefSeq, a predicted model, not a curated record
GUUCAGUAGAACUAACACUGAGGUCCAGUCAGACUAACACUGACAUGUUUCCAUUGUCUGUAUUCAAACAGAUGUCCUUCAUCACUUUGGUCAGAGCAGGCUCAGUGCUGUGGUGCUGUCUAAAACCUGACUGGAAGACAUCAUAGCAG